RNAcentral lists this non-coding RNA (26 nucleotides) under Rattus norvegicus (Norway rat). The record is from RNAcentral. Lineage: Eukaryota; Metazoa; Chordata; Mammalia; Rodentia; Muridae.
UAAGAGCUAUGCAGGUUUGUCAAAGG